This 440-nucleotide ribosomal RNA is filed under the name uncultured bacterium. RNAcentral's name for it is "bacterial SSU rRNA". It matches the Rfam family "Bacterial small subunit ribosomal RNA", at positions 338 to 782 of the family's 1533-position model. The record is from RNAcentral.
CCUACGGGUGGCUGCAGUCGAGGAUCUUCGGCAAUGGGCGCAAGCCUGACCGAGCGACGCCGCGUGUGCGAUGAAGGCCUUCGGGUUGUAAAGCACUGUCGAGGGGGAGGAAAGUCCCGCAAGGGGCCUGACCUAUCCCUGGAGGAAGCACGGGCUAAGUUCGUGCCAGCAGCCGCGGUAAGACGAACCGUGCGAACGUUGUUCGGAAUCACUGGGCUUAAAGGGCGCGUAGGCGGCUCGCCGAGUCCGGGGUGAAAUCUUUCGGCUCAACCGGAAAAGGGCCUCGGAGACUGGCGGGCUGGAGGGAGGUAGGGGCCGCGGGAACUUCCGGUGGAGCGGUGAAAUGCGUUGAUAUCGGAAGGAACGCCGGUGGCGAAAGCGCGCGGCUGGCCCUCUUCUGACGCUGAGGCGCGAAAGCCAGGGGAGCAAACGGGAUUAGA